RNAcentral lists this long non-coding RNA (239 nucleotides) under Mytilus galloprovincialis (Mediterranean mussel). Lineage: Eukaryota; Metazoa; Mollusca; Bivalvia; Mytilida; Mytilidae. The record is from RNAcentral.
UGUUCGACCCCAGUUUAAGGGGUUAAAUUGAAGUUCACAUGAAUCUGGAUUUAAUGAGGUCGAACUAUUCACUUACAAGUGAACAAUAAUCUAUAACGUCUCUUAACUUUUUUGUCACUGCUAAUACGACAAGCUUUUUAUUGAUCUAAUAUACUAUUGAUUGAUACAUAAAAUUAAGAAUGGAAAUGGGGAAUGUGUCAAAGAGACAACAACCUGACCAUAUAGCAGACAACAGCCAA